CGCCGAGAGCCAGACUUGCUAUCCAUCUACAAAAAGCAUAGGGAGUGAAUGCACUACUGAAUGCGCCGAGGCUGAUGUCCAGGCCACUAGUGAAGUGACAGUGGUGUCAGUUGAGACACAAACGGAUGCAGUGCCAAAGAGGCACCAAAACCGUGCAGUGCGUGCCUGGCAGAGUUUCUGUGGCCAGGUACGCAACCUGCACAACCGCCUCAUCCAUGGAACGGAGGCAUUCUAAACCCUACUGGAAAUAUAGUAGCCUCCAUAGGAUGUACUGUUCUUCAGGGUGCUAGCUUAUUAUCUGAUUUAUAAAUUUGAACAGCUGUUAUCUGUAAUGUUUUAUACUGCAAAUUCUAUAUUUUUUAGAUUUGAUACAGAAAUUCAUAAAUGAACUGUAUAGUCGCUGAAUCCCUAAAGCGAAGGUUAAGUCAGGCCAUUCCUACUGAGGGCAUCUAGCACACAAGAGACAUCCUGCUAGUACCCCGGUGAGGGUAGGGGGCGGGAAGGCAUAUUCCGCGUAACCAUGUGUUUACAUGUGGGCCCCAACAUACAGGGUAUUAGCAGGAGCAAAAAUAUGCGCUAGAUGCUCUCGCUCAACCGCAAAAUAGAACACCAAAGCAACUAAAGGCUGUGCCUCGUGUCAUUUCAUGUAAAUAUUUCUAAGUAUGUAAAAAUAACUUGACGAAAGUUGUAUCCCCAAAUAUAUGUAGAAAAAAUAAAACACCAAAGCGACUGAA
Molecule: long non-coding RNA, 734 nt
Organism: Nematostella vectensis (starlet sea anemone)
Lineage: Eukaryota; Metazoa; Cnidaria; Anthozoa; Actiniaria; Edwardsiidae
Exons: 2
Source: RefSeq, a predicted model, not a curated record